RNAcentral lists this unclassified non-coding RNA (1808 nucleotides) under Hevea brasiliensis (rubber tree). Lineage: Eukaryota; Viridiplantae; Streptophyta; Magnoliopsida; Malpighiales; Euphorbiaceae. The record is from RNAcentral.
AAAAUAUGGGAGGUUUGUAAUCCUGAAUACGUUAGUUUGAUGAGAUUUUGGUGAUUAGUUAUCACCAAUGAUCAAAUUUCAAAAACCUCUAGAUCGACAAAUUUCGAGUUGAGUGGUUGUGCUUUUUGUCAAUGAAAGUACUCGUCAAAUGUAGAAAUAAAAAAGGUGCGCCUUUCUAGCCUUGGGCCUGGAACAAGGCGCACGCAUAGACACAUAAGGCGAGGGCAUGGUGAAUUUCGCUUGCCUUUCUCUUGUAGAGGCGUUAGGCCUGGAGCCUAGUGAGCCUGGAGCCUGAGACAUAACUUUAAUAAUUAUGCUUAAGUCUGAUAGUUCACAAUUGAAACUCAUUAAGCUCAUUAAUCUUCUAUUCAAAUCAAAACUGAGCAAACUAAUAGUGCAAUAAAAUUUUCAAACCUUCCCCAAAACAAUAAUAAAAUUUUAAAAUUUUCACCUUAUCUUGAUACAUUUUAUGAUCUAUAACUAAUAAGAUGUCUCCCUUUCAUGAAAUAUUAAAAUAUCUCCUCUCUCAACAGACUCAACAAUUAUUUUACAUCUACUCUCUUACAUUAUUUAUUUUCGUUCUUUUUCUUGUCAAAAUUAAGAACUGGUACCUGGCCACCAAAGCAGAGUCCCAGGAGCUGGUCAGAUAUAAGACAGUUACCUGUUUCUCUAAUUCUUCAGCAACGCCCUCAAAAAGAUCUCUAGGUGUUGAACCAGAGGUGUUUGUUGCAACAGCAUGAUAUUGAGGCAAGUCCUUAACCUUAGGACAAUAAUCAUGCCAGUGAGUUUUUGCAGUAAGAGACCCAUCAGCAACAUGGUCUUCCAACAAUUUACAAAACGCAUCACGAUUUUUGCGCUCAGCCCGUCUCAGUUGCUCCUUUUAUUUGGUUAAAAAAAAAAUGAAUGAAGAUAUGAACAUAAUCUCAAAUGCAUUAAAGAUCAUGCAAAUGGAUCUACCUUCUGUAUCUUCUUUUGCUCCUCUGCUUCCUUCUCCAGGUCACGAAUAUAAUCCUGGAAAAUGAGUAGGUGGUCAAGUUUUCCAAGACGCAAGCACCUUUCAUCAUCCUCCAAGCAACCUUGAACUUUCCGCCAUGGGCUAUUGACCUUAAUGAAAUCACAGGAUUCCAGAAAUUUCCUAUACUCUGCUACAUUCCGCCUGUGGUCCUCUGCAGCCUUUUCCCUUUCCUUCCUUCCAAGUUCCACAAUGUAGUUGUCAAAAAAAAAUCCUCCCGAUCUCUUGUUUUCUCAACAGCCUUGAACCGCUCAUCAUUUUCAAACAAACUUAUGGCUUUGCUGAUUGAACAAAAGGUUCAGCUAAAACAUUUAUUCAACAAACUGCCUAUCUAGGGUCAUAAACUACACUGAUAGUAGAGGUGGUGAUUCUAAGUUCUAACCCAACCAAAACCCACUCAAAAAAAUAUAUAUAUAUUAUGGACAAAAUCUGCCCAAACCCAUACUAAACCUGAAUGACCAAAAUAUGAGGGUUGAAGCAAAGUAACCCAAAUGAACUGAAAUAAUUUAUUUUAAAAUAGGAAAAAAAAGAUGAAAUUUAAGAAAAUAAAAAUAAUAAUUUCAAAAAUUACAAAAAGGAUCCAUAGAGACUAUAAAUGGAUCCCCAAAAGUCAACUCGUUCGGUUUCCUGAACCAACCCAAAAACCAAAGUUACCCAAACACUAAAAAGGUCAAAGUGAUUUUAACCAGAUUGUCACCUCUACUACACAUGGAAAGCCUAGGGUUAAAAUAGAACUUCACACAGAAUAGGUACAAAUUUAAACCUCCAUUUCAUGGCUAAUGUGACUUCCUUGGAC